UGAGUAGGAGGAUUACUGGAGCUCAGGAGUUCUAGGCUGCAGUGAGCUAUGAUCACACUAUUGCACUCCGGCCUGGGUGACAGAGCAAGACUCUGUCUCU
Molecule: microRNA precursor, 100 nt
Filed under: Otolemur garnettii (small-eared galago)
Lineage: Eukaryota; Metazoa; Chordata; Mammalia; Primates; Galagidae
Description: miRNA (ENSOGAG00000030578.1)
Source: RNAcentral